CAGAGGUCUCAAGCGUUGUUCGGAAUCACUGGGCGUAAAGGGUGCGUAGGCCGCACGGUAAGUCAGAGGUGAAAUCCCGGAGCUCAACUCCGGAAUGGCCUCCGAUACUGCCGUGCUCGAGGACUGGAGAGGAGUCUGGAAUUCACAGUGGAGCAGUGAAAUGCGUAGAUAUUGUGAGGAACACUAGUGGCGAAGGCGAGACUCUGGACAGUUCCUGACACUGAGGCACGAAGGCCAGGGGAGCAAACGGGAUUAGAUACCCCGGUAGUCCUGGCAGUAAACGGUGCACGCUUGGUGUGGCAGGAUUCGACCCCUGCCGUGCCGGAGCUAACGCGUUAAGCGUGCCGCCUGGGAAGUACGGUCGCAAGAUUA
RNAcentral lists this ribosomal RNA (372 nucleotides) under uncultured organism. Its description in RNAcentral is "bacterial SSU rRNA". It matches the Rfam family "Bacterial small subunit ribosomal RNA", at positions 526 to 896 of the family's 1533-position model. The record is from RNAcentral.